GCUCUUAGCCGAGCGGUCUAAGGCGCCACGUUAAGGUCGAAGCAUCUUCCAGAUCUUCCACGCCAGCUUCAAGCUGGAACAGUUCCGUGGUCCGAAAGGGCAUGGGUUCGAAUCCCAUUCUCAUCA
Molecule: transfer RNA, 126 nt
Filed under: Dothistroma septosporum NZE10
Lineage: Eukaryota; Fungi; Ascomycota; Dothideomycetes; Mycosphaerellales; Mycosphaerellaceae
Description: tRNA-Leu for anticodon AAG
Source: RNAcentral